Molecule: ribosomal RNA, 417 nt
Filed under: uncultured eukaryote
Lineage: Eukaryota
Description: bacterial SSU rRNA
Rfam family: Eukaryotic small subunit ribosomal RNA
Source: RNAcentral
CAAUAGCGUAUAUUAAAGUUGUUGCGGUUAAAAGCUCGUAGUUGGAUUUCUGUUGAGGGCAAGCGGUCCGCACUUUGUGCGAGUAUCUGUUUUGACCUCGGCAUCCUCUUGAAGAACGAUACUGUGAUUCAGUUCGUGGUUCGGAAUUCAAGACUUUUACUUUGAGGAAAUUAGAGUGUUCACGGCAAGCAAUCGCUUUGAAUACAUUAGCAUGGAAUAAUAAUAUAGGACCUUGGUACUAUUUUGUUGGUUUCUAGAACUAAGGUAAUGAUUAAUAGGGAUAAUUGGGGCAUUCGUAUUAAGACGUCAGAGGUGGAAUUCUUGGACCUUCGGAAGACUAACAGCUGCGAAAGCGUUUGCCUAGGAUGUUCUCUUUAAUCAAGAACGAAGGUUGGGGAUCGAAGACGAUCAGAUACC